RNAcentral lists this ribosomal RNA (439 nucleotides) under uncultured bacterium. RNAcentral describes it as "partial 16S ribosomal RNA". It matches the Rfam family "Bacterial small subunit ribosomal RNA", at positions 339 to 795 of the family's 1533-position model. The record is from RNAcentral.
CUACGGGGGGCUCCAGUAGGGAAUCUUAGACAAUGGGCGCAAGCCUGAUCUAGCCAUGCCGCGUGAGUGAUGAAGGCCUUAGGGUCGUAAAGCUCUUUCGCUGGGGAAGAUAAUGACGGUACCCAGUAAAGAAACCCCGGCUAACUCCGUGCCAGCAGCCGCGGUAAUACGGAGGGGGUUAGCGUUGUUCGGAAUUACUGGGCGUAAAGCGCGCGUAGGCGGACUGUUAAGUCGGGGGUGAAAUCCCGGGGCUCAACCCCGGAACGGCCUUCGAUACUGGCAGUCUGGAGUUCGAGAGAGGUGAGUGGAAUUCCGAGUGUAGAGGUGAAAUUCGUAGAUAUUCGGAGGAACACCAGUGGCGAAGGCGGCUCACUGGCUCGAUACUGACGCUGAGGUGCGAAAGUGUGGGGAGCAAACAGGAUUAGAUACCCUAGUAGUC